RNAcentral lists this ribosomal RNA (274 nucleotides) under uncultured bacterium. RNAcentral describes it as "partial 16S ribosomal RNA". It matches the Rfam family "Bacterial small subunit ribosomal RNA", at positions 523 to 796 of the family's 1533-position model. The record is from RNAcentral.
AGACAGAGGUGGCAAGCGUUGUUCGGAUUUACUGGGCUUAAAGCGCGCGUAGGCGUCCUGAUAAGUCAGAUGUGGAAGCCUUGGGCUUAACCCAAGAAUUGCAUUUGAUACUGUCGGGAUUGAGUCAUGCAUAGGAGGGCGGAAUUCCUGGUGUAGCGGUGAAAUGCGUAGAUAUCAGGAGGAAGGCCGGAGGCGAAGGCGGCCCUCUGGGCAAUGACUGACGCUGAGGUGCGAAAGCGUGGGUAGCAAACAGGAUUAGAAACCCCAGUAGUCC